UGGGGAAUUUUGGACAAUGGGCGAAAGCCUGAUCCAGCAAUGCCGCGUGUGUGAAGAAGGCCUUCGGGUUGUAAAGCACUUUUGUCCGGAAAGAAAUCCUUGGCUCUAAUACAGUCGGGGGAUGACGGUACCGGAAGAAUAAGCACCGGCUAACUACGUGCCAGCAGCCGCGGUAAUACGUAGGGUGCAAGCGUUAAUCGGAAUUACUGGGCGUAAAGCGUGCGCAGGCGGUUUGCUAAGACCGAUGUGAAAUCCCCGGGCUCAACCUGGGAACUGCAUUGGUGACUGGCAGGCUAGAGUAUGGCAGAGGGGGGUAGAAUUCCACGUGUAGCAGUGAAAUGCGUAGAGAUGUGGAGGAAUACCGAUGGCGAAGGCAGCCCCCUGGGCCAAUACUGACGCUCAUGCACGAAAGCGUGGGGGAGCAAAACAGGAUUAGAUACCCUGGUAGUCCACGCCCUAAAACGAUGUCAACUAGUUGUUGGGGAUUCAUUCCUUAGUAACGUAGCUAACGCGUGAAGUUGACCGCCUGGGGAGUACGGUCGCAAAGAUUAAAACUUAAAUGAAUUGACGGGGUCAUAGCUG
This 582-nucleotide ribosomal RNA is filed under the name uncultured bacterium. RNAcentral's name for it is "partial 16S ribosomal RNA". It matches the Rfam family "Bacterial small subunit ribosomal RNA", at positions 355 to 932 of the family's 1533-position model. The record is from RNAcentral.